GGAUUAGAUACCCUGGUAGUCCACGCCGUAAACGAUGAAUGCUAGAUGUCGGGGAAGUUUGUUCCUCGGUUUCGCAGCUAACGCAUUAAGCAUUCCGCCUGGAGACUACGAUCGCAAGAUUAAAACUCAAAGGAAUUGACGGGGGCUCGCACAAGUGGUGGAGCAUGCGGUUUAAUUCGAUGCUACGCGAAAAACCUUACCAACCCUUGACAUGGUGGUCGCGGAUUCAGAGAUGAAUCCUUCAGUUCGGCUGGACCACACACAGGUGUUGCACGGCUGUCGUCAGCUCGUGCUG
Molecule: ribosomal RNA, 295 nt
Filed under: uncultured bacterium
Lineage: Bacteria
Description: partial 16S ribosomal RNA
Rfam family: Bacterial small subunit ribosomal RNA
Source: RNAcentral